GAUGAACGCUGGCGGCGUGCCUAAUACAUGCAAGUCGAGCGAACAGACGAGGAGCUUGCUCCUCUGACGUUAGCGGCGGACGGGUGAGUAACACGUGGAUAACCUACCUAUAAGACUGGGAUAAUUUCGGGAAACCGGCGCUAAUACCGGAUAAUAUAUUGAACCGCAUGGUUCAAUAGUGAAAGACGGUUUUGCUGUCACUUAUCGAUGGAUCCGCGCCGCAUUAGCUAGUUGGUAAGGUAACGGCUUACCAAGGCAACGAUGCGUAGCCGACCUGAGAGGGUGAUCGGCCACACUAGAACGGAGACACGGACAAGAGGCCUAAGGGAGGCAGCAGUAGGGAAUCUGCCGCAAUGGGCGAAAGCUUGACGGAGCAACGCCGCGUGAGUGAUGAAGGUCUUCGGAUCGGAAAACUCUGUUAUUAGGGAAGAACAAAUGUGUAAGUAACUAUGCACGUCUUGACGGUACCUAAUCAGAAAGCCACGGCUAACUACGUG
Molecule: ribosomal RNA, 497 nt
Filed under: uncultured bacterium
Lineage: Bacteria
Description: partial 16S ribosomal RNA
Rfam family: Bacterial small subunit ribosomal RNA
Source: RNAcentral